UGUGCAGGGAGCUGGUGCAAAUGCCUCUGU
RNAcentral lists this non-coding RNA (30 nucleotides) under Homo sapiens (human). Lineage: Eukaryota; Metazoa; Chordata; Mammalia; Primates; Hominidae. The record is from RNAcentral.